UCGGGAAUUUUGGGCAAUGGGGGAAACCCUGACCCAGCCAUGCCGCGUGCAGGAUGAAGGCGUUAUGCGUUGUAAACUGCUUUUAUAUAGGAAGAAAUAGUCCUUGCGAGGAAAGUUGACGGUACUAUAUGAAUAAGCACCGGCUAACUCCGUGCCAGCAGCCGCGGUAAUACGGGGGGUGCAAGCGUUAAUCGGAUUUACUGGGCGUAAAGGGCGCGUAGGCGGCGUGGUAAGUCAUCUGUGAAAUCUCCGAGCUUAACUCGGAACGGUCAGAUGAUACUGCUGUGCUAGAGUACAGAAAGGGCAAUCGGAAUUCUUGGUGUAGCGGUGAAAUGCGUAGAUAUCAAGAGGAACACCUGAGGCGAAGGCGGGUUGCUAGGCUGAUACUGACGCUGAGGCGCGAAAGCCAGGGGAGCAAACGGGAUUAGAUACCCAAGUAGUCCCUGAGCGGGCUGGCAAGGCGCAU
This 466-nucleotide ribosomal RNA is filed under the name uncultured bacterium. Its description in RNAcentral is "bacterial SSU rRNA". It matches the Rfam family "Bacterial small subunit ribosomal RNA", at positions 355 to 825 of the family's 1533-position model. The record is from RNAcentral.